UGGGGAAUUUUGGACAAUGGGCGCAAGCCUGAUCCAGCCAUGCCGCGUGCGGGAAGAAGGCCUUCGGGUUGUAAACCGCUUUUGUCAGGGAAGAAAUCUUCUGAGUUAAUACCUCGGGAGGAUGACGGUACCUGAAGAAUAAGCACCGGCUAACUACGUGCCAGCAGCCGCGGUAAUACGUAGGGUGCAAGCGUUAAUCGGAAUUACUGGGCGUAAAGCGUGCGCAGGCGGUUUUGUAAGACAGAGGUGAAAUCCCCGGGCUCAACCUGGGAACUGCCUUUGUGACCGCAAGGCUUGAGUGCGGCAGAGGGGGGAUGGAAUUCCGCGUGUAGCAGUGAAAUGCGUAGAUAUGCGGAGGAACACCGAUGGCGAAGGCAAUCCCCUGGGCCUGCACUGACGCUCAUGCACGAAAGCGUGGGGAGCAAACAGGAUUAGAUACCCUGGUAGUCCACGCCCUAAACGAUGUCAACUGGUUGUUGGGAAGGUUCCUUCUCAGUAACGUAGCUAACGCGUGAAGUUGACCGCCUGGGGAGUACGGCCGCAAGGUUGAAACUUAAAGGAAUUGACGGGGUCAUAGCUGUUUCCUG
This 587-nucleotide ribosomal RNA is filed under the name uncultured bacterium. RNAcentral describes it as "partial 16S ribosomal RNA". It matches the Rfam family "Bacterial small subunit ribosomal RNA", at positions 355 to 1376 of the family's 1533-position model. The record is from RNAcentral.